GUACGAUCACAUUACUCUUCCAUCCUACGGACAUUUGCUCCCGCUCACACCCAUCGAAGCCGACGCAGCAGACGAAUUUAAGCGCAGGUUUCCUGUUUUGCUGCGACCUCCAGACAAGUGUGACGGACUCACAGACUUCGCAGCAUUGAACAGACCUUGGAUCGUACACGCCGGGUGUCCGACAUGACUGCCCGGAGCAGGACUGCAGCAUCAUCAGCCGGUAGUUCAUCUUCUCCAGGAAGUCCUGGCCGAUGGAGUCUGCGAUAUUCGUUAACUGAUCAUAUUAUGGUUACAUCUCCCCGUCCCUUCGUACCGACACUCCGGGUCCCAGCAGAGGACAGGCGGGGUCGGAGACGUUGCUUCCCUCUCCUUCGUACUCCACCAGGAUGUCUGUCCUCCAGCUGCUGCUGUUCAUCCUCCCCUCCUUGUGACACACACACACACAGAUGUACACAAGUGUGGUAUUGUACAUAUUAUUAUAUUUAUGGCAAAUAUCCACUGAUAACAGCUUUAAAAUACUGUCACUCUAAUUUAAUCUUAUCUGAAUAAUAAUAAUAAUCAUCAUCAUCAUCAUCUUAACCUCAAUUGCAAGACUAAUUAUUAUUACCUAAGCUCUUGUUUAUGAAGAUUAUUAUUAACCCUUGACAGAAUAAAUGAAAUGAACAUUUUGGGCUGGUAGUGUGACUUAAGUGUAAAAACGUUUAAGUUCAGUGAUCUCACCAUAACGGGCAGGAAGGACAUGCCGUCCAUCUGCGUCUUGCUGACGUUGAGGCCGGCGAUGUCCAGGAUGGUUGGACCAAGGUCAACAUUCGCCACCAGCAUCUGACAACAUGAUGAAUUCAGUUUAGCUCAGGCCAACACAGACUCCAGGGAAGGCAGAAUAACACAGCAGAAUGGAUGUACUGUGUCUGAGGGGUUUGAUAUAUAUAAAGGAAAAAAAAACAAACCUACAGAAACAUGUUGUUCUAUGUAAGUGGUGGAGUUUACAGUCACAUUAAUAUAAAUGUCAUCCCCAAUAACCCACAGUGAACAUUUAUGCAGUGAUCAAAUAAAUAUCUAUGACUUUAAGUGCAGUUUUGAUCAGGUUUACAAACUACAUUCACAGGUAAUAACCCGCUAAAAAUAAACACAUUAAAGCCAGUAAAAAAAAAAAAAAAAAAAGAUAUUAUGCUCUAAUCUUAGUUAUAGAAACAGGUGCAGUCUGAAGCUUGAACAUAACACAGGUGUGUGCAUGUUUGUCUGUACCUGGCUGGUCUGGUUGGGUUUGAUAUUUGGUCCACGGACCAUGAGAGGAACCCUGAUGUCAAACUCGUAGAGCUGCCUCUUAUCUAGAGGAAGAGAGAACUGACCUGAAAGAAAAAAGAAAAACAGAGUAUGAAAACAAAGAAACAGAGCACACACCUCCACAAAGACUCUAUAAAGUCAUUACUUUCACAAAACUUGUUUUAAAAUAUCCUGGUGACUAAUCACACAAACAGGAUCAAAACAUUUUCUCCUUGGUAAAGGUAAAGACAGUGGACAGAUUUAUGUGUCUACAUGCACGUACAUACCAGUGUGGUACCCGUUGUCAGAGGUAAAGAAGAUGUACGUGUUGUCCAGUUCACCUCUGACCUCUAACCUCUUCACUAUCUUCUCCACCAGGUCGUCCACUGACAGCAGAGUUCGCCACCUACAGGUCAGGAUGAACAACAAGAAACCUGCAGUGUCAUAAGACUGUGAAUGUCAGUGUUACAGCACAGAGGCUUUUCAGAAUAAAGUGACGUCCCAAAUACAAAAACCCCAGUGUGAGAAGUGUUUUUGUUCAUCAAAGCAGCUGAGUCUAUCUGUUCUAAGGUAGGUCUAAAGGUGCAUAAAUCACAUGAGGAAAUGACACGUGUCCCUCUCUCUUUAUGUAAAAGUAAAGCAAGCGCUGACAGAAGAGAAGAGGUGUGACGAGGAGCUGAUACUGGAGAGAAAGCAGAGGAAGAGAUGGAAAGGACAGAGGAAGGAGAGGAGGUGAAGAGACUGACCGUUUCCUGAAGGCGUCAUCCAGAAACUGGACAGAGGAGUUGGACAUGGGGGUUUUAGCCUGUCUGA
Toxotes jaculatrix (banded archerfish) is the source of this 2076-nucleotide long non-coding RNA. RefSeq lists it as uncharacterized. The transcript is spliced from 3 exons. The record is from RefSeq and is a predicted model, not a curated record. NCBI's taxonomy places the organism in Eukaryota, Metazoa, Chordata, Actinopteri, Toxotidae.